This 1400-nucleotide ribosomal RNA is filed under the name Vibrio crassostreae. Its description in RNAcentral is "partial 23S ribosomal RNA". It matches the Rfam family "Bacterial large subunit ribosomal RNA", at positions 1441 to 2822 of the family's 2925-position model. The record is from RNAcentral. Lineage: Bacteria; Pseudomonadati; Pseudomonadota; Gammaproteobacteria; Vibrionales; Vibrionaceae.
GUACUUCUUACAAUUGCGAUGGGGGGACGGAGAAGGCUAGGUGGGCCUGGCGACGGUUGUCCAGGUUCAAGUACGUAGGCGGGUGGUUUAGGUAAAUCCGGACCGCUACUAACGCUGAGAUACGAUGUCGAGCUACUACGGUAGUGAAGUCAUUGAUGCCAUGCUUCCAGGAAAAGCCUCUAAGCUUCAGAUUGUAAGGAAUCGUACCCCAAACCGACACAGGUGGUCGGGUAGAGAAUACCAAGGCGCUUGAGAGAACUCGGGUGAAGGAACUAGGCAAAAUGGUACCGUAACUUCGGGAGAAGGUACGCUCUUAUCAGUGAAGUCCCUUGCGGAUGGAGCAGACGAGAGUCGCAGAUACCAGGUGGCUGCAACUGUUUAUUAAAAACACAGCACUGUGCAAAAUCGUAAGAUGACGUAUACGGUGUGACGCCUGCCCGGUGCCGGAAGGUUAAUUGAUGGGGUUAGACUUCGGUCGAAGCUCUUGAUCGAAGCCCCGGUAAACGGCGGCCGUAACUAUAACGGUCCUAAGGUAGCGAAAUUCCUUGUCGGGUAAGUUCCGACCUGCACGAAUGGCGUAAUGAUGGCCACGCUGUCUCCACCCGAGACUCAGUGAAAUUGAAAUCGCUGUGAAGAUGCAGUGUACCCGCGGCUAGACGGAAAGACCCCGUGAACCUUUACUACAGCUUGGCACUGAACAUUGAACCUACAUGUGUAGGAUAGGUGGGAGACUUUGAAACCGCGUCGCUAGAUGUGGUGGAGUCGUCCUUGAAAUACCACCCUUGUAGUUUUGAUGUUCUAACGUUGGUCCCUGAAUCGGGAUUACGGACAGUGCCUGGUGGGUAGUUUGACUGGGGCGGUCUCCUCCCAAAGAGUAACGGAGGAGCACGAAGGUGGGCUAAACACGGUUGGACAUCGUGUGGUUAGUGCAAUGGCAUAAGCCCGCUUGACUGCGAGAAUGACAAUUCGAGCAGGUGCGAAAGCAGGUCAUAGUGAUCCGGUGGUUCUGAAUGGAAGGGCCAUCGCUCAACGGAUAAAAGGUACUCCGGGGAUAACAGGCUGAUACCGCCCAAGAGUUCAUAUCGACGGCGGUGUUUGGCACCUCGAUGUCGGCUCAUCACAUCCUGGGGCUGAAGUCGGUCCCAAGGGUAUGGCUGUUCGCCAUUUAAAGUGGUACGCGAGCUGGGUUUAGAACGUCGUGAGACAGUUCGGUCCCUAUCUGCCGUGGGCGUUGGAAAAUUGAAAGGGGCUGCUCCUAGUACGAGAGGACCGGAGUGGACGAACCUCUGGUGUUCGGGUUGUCAUGCCAAUGGCAUUGCCCGGUAGCUAAGUUCGGAAUCGAUAACCGCUGAAAGCAUCUAAGCGGGAAGCGAGCCUUGAGAUGAGUUUUCCCUGGCGCU